Molecule: long non-coding RNA, 961 nt
Organism: Manis javanica (Malayan pangolin)
Lineage: Eukaryota; Metazoa; Chordata; Mammalia; Pholidota; Manidae
Source: RefSeq, a predicted model, not a curated record
GCAGAGAGAGGUGGAGGGGACCUGGGUGACUGGGAGGCCUCUCCCUCGCCGCCCACGGCCAGGGGUGGGCCAGGCCCCAAACGGACUCCGUCCUCCCAGAACUGGGGCAGGCCUGGGUACUCGCGGACUCCCCACCGCAGGCGCAGCCCCGAGGCUGAGCUGGGAGCCCUGUUUAACCUGGGGAUGCCGUCGCCGCGGCGCUUCUACCCGCACCGACUGUGCCAAACGAGGCGGGGCUCGCCCGGGGCGGACUUACUUGAGUUCCACUGACCACGAGCCCGGCCAUGGCGACGGGGCGGACGCGCGGCACCCAGCGCGGAGCGCGGCGGCGGCUGGCAGCGCGGGCCGAGCGCACAGUUCCGCACUGAGCGGUCAGCUGACCCGGCGGAAGCCCGAGGCUGGCCGGGCGUGAGGACCUCGGCUCUUCGGCGCGCACGCCCAAGGUCCCGGGGCCGACUCUCGCGCAGAUGCACUGCUUUGGAAAUCAUCUGCUCCAACUACUUAGGAAGAACUAAGGCCUAACAAGUAGAAGGGACUUGCCCAAGGUCAUCCAGCAAAUGAAUGGAUCCCCCCAGGCCAGAACACUCUGAUCCUGUGAAGAAAAUGAAAGAGGACUCCUCCUAUAAGCCAGUAAGAACAGGGUGAGAGACUGGGGAGGAGCAACGGAAAGAUACCAUUUCACAUCUAAUCGCCUCUUGUCACAUUGUAACCAUUUCCCUCAUAUGGAGCCCCAUGCUGAUGGAUCAGAAAUAACAUUUUCAAAGUUAUAUCUUCAAGGAAAUGGCUGUUAAUGUUCUUCCUCUCCUUUUAGAGCACUGAGGAAUACAUAUUAAUUUUCUCUCUACUUACAUUGCCUAUUUGCAAAUUGUAUUCACUACCCAAUGCUCCAAUUUGCCCUACCUAGAGAUUAUGAUGAAUAAAUGUGUUCCUGGAAAUAAAAUAAUAAAAAAUUUGUCACUGA